RNAcentral lists this transfer RNA (541 nucleotides) under uncultured cyanobacterium. Its description in RNAcentral is "partial 16S-23S ribosomal RNA intergenic spacer". The stretch from base 212 to 284 matches the Rfam family "tRNA". Lineage: Bacteria; Bacillati; Cyanobacteriota. The record is from RNAcentral.
CAGGGAGACAACAAAAUGUUUAAUAUUAUUAUUUUGUCACCUUAGGUCGAUCGGUACCUCACGUUUUUAAUUUAUUAAGAAUUUCAUUUCCUAAGUUUUUCUAGGUCACACCCAUUAUUUUUCCUGGGCCAUUAGCUCAGGUGGUUAGAGCGCACCCCUGAUAAGGGUGAGGUCCCUGGUUCAAGUCCAGGAUGGCCCAUAUCUCUAUGUUGGGGGUAUAGCUCAGUUGGUAGAGCGCCUGCUUUGCAAGCAGGAUGUCAGCGGUUCGAGUCCGCUUACCUCCACUGAUUACCACCUCUUCCAUAACAGGUAGAAAGGAAAUUUUUUGAGUUGUGAUCUAAUUCUGAAAGAAUCUAGCUUCCUAAUGAAAUCAUUAAGAUGCUGGACUCAUUGAAUUAAUUUCAUUGUUUUCAGAGAACCUUGACAACUGCAUAGAUUAUUUUAAAAGACAAUAAGCAUCUUUAAUGAUGCAGAUUUAUUAUUUGUGCGAAUGCAUUAAUAACAAUUCUAUUAAGCUGAUGCUUCAAUUUUUGAAGUUAUU